RNAcentral lists this transfer RNA (60 nucleotides) under Gnatholebias zonatus. RNAcentral's name for it is "tRNA-Cys". The record is from RNAcentral. Lineage: Eukaryota; Metazoa; Chordata; Actinopteri; Cyprinodontiformes; Rivulidae.
AGUUUCGAGAGUUUGUAGAUUGCAAAUCUAAAAAUGCUGGUUAGUUACCAGCCGGAACUU